RNAcentral lists this RNase MRP RNA (393 nucleotides) under Galerina marginata CBS 339.88. RNAcentral describes it as "RNase MRP". It matches the Rfam family "RNase MRP". From Rfam's summary of the family: RNase MRP is an enzymatically active ribonucleoprotein with two distinct roles in eukaryotes. In mitochondria it plays a direct role in the initiation of mitochondrial DNA replication. In the nucleus it is involved in precursor rRNA processing, where it cleaves the internal transcribed spacer 1 between 18S and 5.8S rRNAs. The record is from Rfam by way of RNAcentral. Lineage: Eukaryota; Fungi; Basidiomycota; Agaricomycetes; Agaricales; Galerinaceae.
GUGCUGUCUGAAGAAUCGCUUUCGCAGCUCGCGUACAGGGGGGCUCUGCGCCUUUCAUAUUUAGCUGUGGGGAAAGUCCCCGGAGAAACAGAGCGUGUCCUCGACUAUUCUAUGGAAAGCGACCGGCUCCAAGCACGUCGGUACUGGUCGAGGACGGACGGGAAUGCUUCACCAGGUCGCCUAGGCUCAUCUGGCUCCAUCUCGAAUCCACUCUGUGGCCUUUCCUGACGGAAUAUCUUCGAUCAAGGCGCAGGUGUGCGAAGAUAUGAGCACGCUUGUCGCUCGUUGGUGUUUUCUGAUGGACAAGCCCUUCGUUGCUCAUAGACACAGUUAUGCGAUUGUUUGACUCCUUCUUGGACUCAUCAACUCAAUGGGGCUCACUCUCAGCCAGCG